AACGACUCAGAAUUUCACCAUGGG
RNAcentral lists this non-coding RNA (24 nucleotides) under Arabidopsis thaliana (thale cress). The record is from RNAcentral. Lineage: Eukaryota; Viridiplantae; Streptophyta; Magnoliopsida; Brassicales; Brassicaceae.